UACAGAGGUCUCAAGCGUUGUUCGGAUUCAUUGGGCGUAAAGGGUGCGUAGGCGGCGCGGUAAGUCGGGUGUGAAAUCUCGGAGCUUAACUCCGAAACUGCAUUCGAUACUGCCGUGCUUGAGGACUGGAGAGGAGACUGGAAUUUACGGUGUAGCGGUGAAAUGCGUAGAUAUCGUAAGGAAGACCAGUGGCGAAGGCGGGUCUCUGGACAGUUCCUGACGCUUAGGCACGAAGGCCAGGGGAGCAAACGGG
RNAcentral lists this ribosomal RNA (253 nucleotides) under uncultured bacterium. Its description in RNAcentral is "partial 16S ribosomal RNA". It matches the Rfam family "Bacterial small subunit ribosomal RNA", at positions 524 to 776 of the family's 1533-position model. The record is from RNAcentral.